AGUGGGAUAGCUGGGUCAAAUCAUGGUUCCAUUCCCAAUUUUCUGAGGAAUCUCCAUACUACUUUCCAUAGUGUUGCACCACUUUGCAGUCCCACUAGCAAU
Molecule: microRNA precursor, 102 nt
Filed under: Marmota monax (woodchuck)
Lineage: Eukaryota; Metazoa; Chordata; Mammalia; Rodentia; Sciuridae
Source: RNAcentral